Molecule: ribosomal RNA, 459 nt
Filed under: uncultured bacterium
Lineage: Bacteria
Description: partial 16S ribosomal RNA
Rfam family: Bacterial small subunit ribosomal RNA
Source: RNAcentral
CCUACGGGUGGCAGCAGUGAGGAAUAUUGGUCAAUGGGCGGAAGCCUGAACCAGCCAAGUAGCGUGCAGGAUGACGGCCCUACGGGUUGUAAACUGCUUUUAUACGGGAAUAACGCGCCUUACGUGUAGGGCUUUGCAUGUACCGUAUGAAUAAGGACCGGCUAAUUCCGUGCCAGCAGCCGCGGUAAUACGGAAGGUCCGGGCGUUAUCCGGAUUUAUUGGGUUUAAAGGGAGCGUAGGCGGGCAUUUAAGCCGGCGGUCAAAUGUCGGGGCUCAACCCCGGCCUGCCGUCGGAACUGGGUGCCUUGAGUGGGCGAGAAGUAUGCGGAAUGCGUGGUGUAGCGGUGAAAUGCUUAGAUAUCACGAAGAACUCCGAUUGCGAAGGCAGCUCACUGGACUGCAACUGACACUGAGGCUCGAAAGUGUGGGUAUCAAACAGGAUUAGAUACCCCAGUAGUC